GACGAACGCUGGCGGCGUGCUUAACACAUGCAAGUCGAACGGAAAGGCCCUGCUUUUGUGGGGUGCUCGAGUGGCGAACGGGUGAGUAACACGUGAGUAACCUGCCCUUGACUUUGGGAUAACUUCAGGAAACUGGGGCUAAUACCGGAUAGGAGCUCCUGCUGCAUGGUGGGGGUUGGAAAGUUUCGGCGGUUGGGGAUGGACUCGCGGCUUAUCAGCUUGUGGGUGGGGUAGUGGCUUACCAAGGCUUUGACGGGUAGCCGGCCUGAGAGGGUGACCGGCCACAUUGGGACUGAGAUACGGCCCAGACUCCUACGGGUGGCAGCAGUGGGGAAUAUUGCACCAUGGGCGGCAGCCUGAUGCAGCAACGCCGCGGGCGGGAUGACGGCCUUCGGGUUGUAAACCGCUUUCGCCUGUGACGAAGCGUGAGUGGCGGUAAUGGGUAAAGAAGCACCGGCUUACUACGCGC
This 469-nucleotide ribosomal RNA is filed under the name uncultured bacterium. RNAcentral's name for it is "partial 16S ribosomal RNA". It matches the Rfam family "Bacterial small subunit ribosomal RNA", at positions 28 to 508 of the family's 1533-position model. The record is from RNAcentral.